UUCUGUACGUUGCUUUCCACGUAUUUGUCAGAUAAAGUGUGUAAAAAAGUAUUUUUGCUUUGAAUAAUAAAAGGUAGCAGUUGGAUAUAUAUAAUCAGUUCUAUUCUAUUGUUUCUAUAAACAAAGAAAAUAGUUUUAUACAUUUUUUUAUCACAUGUCAAUUAUUUCAUUUUUUGUUUAUAUAUAUAGUGUUAUAAACGUAGUUGGAAGGAAAGAGCUGAGACCAUAGUUAUAAAAAGGUUGAAAGUUAAAGAGCGACAAGAUUAUAUUUUAAAAAGAGUUAAUAAAUUAUUAGAAUCAAAAUGUAGACUCAAGUGCAAUAGUUUGAGCAACAGCAAUUUGUCAAUUUCAAGAGACUCUGAAGAAGAAAAUUUGCAACUUAAUGAAUUAAUAGAUUUAAAUCAUUAUUCUCAAAGUGAACUUGAGAUUCAAGAAGAUAUAGCUUUCGAAAGACUUUCUAAUGUCAUGAGUUUUGAUGAAAAUAUAGAUAAAAGUGAAAAUAGAGAUGAAAAUGAAUGUAUAGAUGAGAGUGAAAAUAGAGAUGAAAAUGAAAAUAUAAAUGAGUGCAAAGGUAUAGAUGAGAGUGAAAAUACAGAUGAAAGUAUAUAUGAAAGUGAAAAUACGAAUAAAAGUGAAAAUGGAGAUGAAAAUGUUAAUACAGUUUUUGAAAAUGAUCAGCAAAAGGAAAAUUAUGUAAUAUUAGCUUUACGUCAAUGGGCUUUAUCAGGUGGUGUUAUUUCUAUGUCAAAAAUAGAUGAAUUACUUGCAAAACUUCAACCUGUAUUUAAUAAUCUGCCUAAAUGUUAUAAAACUUUAUUGAAAAUUGAUGACGAUAUACAUAUUACUCACUUUGAAAAUAGAGGACAAUUUUGGUAUCGAGGAAUUAAAAAUUAUUUGGAUGGGCUUAAUUUAAAAAAGUACUUGCAAGUAAAACAAAAAAUUGAAAUAGAUAUUAAUACUGACGGACUCCCUCUUUUUCGAAGUUCAAAGAAAAAAUUUUGGCCAAUAUUAGGACAUCUCGUAGGAACUAAAAAUUAUCCAUUCAUUAUUGCUAUUUAUUUUGGGAAUUCUGAUCCAAAUAAUGUGAAAGAGUUUUUGCAAGAUUUUGUAACUGAAGUUGAUAAUCUAAUUUCUAAUGGUUAUGUACGAUAUGGAAAAACUUUUAUUUUUUUAAUUAGACAUUAUAUUCUUGAUGCUCCAGCUAGAGAAUUAAUAAAAUGUUGUAUAGGCCAUAAUGGAUAUGCUUCAUGUGAAAAAUGUACAGUAUGGGGAGAACGAUUAGAUUAUAGGCAAACGUAUAUUGAUUUACAUGCUCCUUUAAGAACUGACGAAAGUUUUAAAAAUCAAAUGCAACCUCGCCAUCAUAAAGGAGUAUCACCUCUUCUUCAACUUAAUACCAAAAUGGUCUCUCAGUUUCGAUUAGAGCCUAUGCAUUUGGUAUAUGAAGGUGUGUUUAAGAGAUUAUUAGAAGCAUGGAAGAAUUGGAUAAGUCCAUGGAAACUACACUGGACUGUUGUAAACAGAAUAUCUGAUAGGCUGAUUCUGUUAGCCCCUUCUUGUCCUCAGGACUUUGCUCGAAAACCCCGAUCUUUACAUGAAUUAUCAUUUUACAAAGCAACGGAAUUCCGUCGUUUAUGUUUAUACGAUGGCAUAGCAGCUUUUGCUUCACAUCCUGAUAUAAAUAUUUAUAAGCACUUUCUAUUAUUGCAUUGUGGAAUUUAUAUUCUUACAAGUCCCAUUCUUUAUAAAAGUUUUAACGAGUAUGCAAAUACUCUACUCAGAACUUUUAUCCAACAUUCUAUCACAUUAUUUGGAAAAUUAUUUGUUGUAUAUAAUGUUCACUCUCUUUGCCAUUUGGCACAAGAAUGUAUUGAUCAUGGUUGUUUAGAUACAUUUAGUGCCUUUCGUUAUGAAAACAAAUUAAAAAUGAUUAAAAGUAACCUCAAAUCUGGUUUUAAACCCAUUCAACAAGCAGCAAAACGUGAGCUAGAACAAAUUUGUCGUUUUGAAAUUUAUAAAUGAAGAUGUUGAUUGCGACGAGGAAGACGAUUCUUUAUUUGAAGUUGGUCUUAUUAAAUGGCUAAAACAAUUAGAUGAAGAAACAAAUGCAAAAAUUUCUUGGCCUCCUAAAUCUGAGCAGAGUACUGCAAUUAAAAAAGAAAUAGAUGCACUUCCUUCAUGGCCGAUAUAUAAUGUUACUGUUUUAAAAUGUUAUGAUACACUUUUGGCUGCACGAAAUGCACGAAAUGGAUAUAUUAUGUCGUCUAAUUAUGAAACAGAGUGUGAAUUUGGUCGUGGUAAACGUAAAAAAAUUAAGCGGCAGUUUGCAUGUGAUGAAUCUCUCUCGACAGAAGUGACAAAAAAGAAGAAAUUUAAAAAUAUUUCAACUUCUGAUGAUUCAGAUUUUGAUAGAGAUGAUAGUGCUAUAAAAAAAUAUAAAUUUAAACAUGCUCCUUCUCCGCCACUUAUCUUGUUUCGAUCAGAAAAUAAUAAAGUAAAACAAUAUCAAAACAAUAUUAUCACAGAUAGCAAAACAAAAAAAUUUGAAAGAUUACAGAAAAAUAAACAAUUAGAAAAAAA
This is a non-coding RNA of Nylanderia fulva, 2580 nucleotides long. The record is from RefSeq and is a predicted model, not a curated record. NCBI's taxonomy places the organism in Eukaryota, Metazoa, Arthropoda, Insecta, Hymenoptera, Formicidae.